UACGUAGGGUGCGAGCGUUAAUCGGAAUUACUGGGCGUAAAGAGUGCGUAGGCGGUUCGUUAUGUCUGCUGUGAAAGCCCCGGGCUUAACCCGGGAAUGGCAGUGGAAACUGGCGGGCUUGAGUGUGGCAGAGGGGGGUGGAAUUCCGCGUGUAGCAGUGAAAUGCGUAGAGAUGCGGAGGAACACCGAUGGCGAAGGCAGCCCCCUGGGCUAACACUGACGCUGAGGCACGAAAGCGUGGGGAGCGAACAGG
This 253-nucleotide ribosomal RNA is filed under the name uncultured bacterium. Its description in RNAcentral is "partial 16S ribosomal RNA". It matches the Rfam family "Bacterial small subunit ribosomal RNA", at positions 524 to 776 of the family's 1533-position model. The record is from RNAcentral.